Molecule: ribosomal RNA, 612 nt
Filed under: uncultured bacterium
Lineage: Bacteria
Description: bacterial SSU rRNA
Rfam family: Bacterial small subunit ribosomal RNA
Source: RNAcentral
UGAGUAACACGUGGGGAAACCUGCCCCAUAGUCUGGGAUACCACUUGGAAACAGGUGCUAAUACCGGAUAAGAAAGCAGAUCGCAUGAUCAGCUUUUAAAAGGCGGCGUAAGCUGUCGCUAUGGGAUGGCCCCGCGGUGCAUUAGCUAGUUGGUAAGGUAAAGGCUUACCAAGGCGAUGAUGCAUAGCCGAGUUGAGAGACUGAUCGGCCACAUUGGGACUGAGACACGGCCCAAACUCCUACGGGAGGCAGCAGUAGGGAAUCUUCCACAAUGGACGCAAGUCUGAUGGAGCAACGCCGCGUGAGUGAAGAAGGUUUUCGGAUCGUAAAGCUCUGUUGUUGGUGAAGAAGGAUAGAGGUAGUAACUGGCCUUUAUUUGACGGUAAUCAACCAGAAAGUCACGGCUAACUACGUGCCAGCAGCCGCGGUAAUACGUAGGUGGCAAGCGUUGUCCGGAUUUAUUGGGCGUAAAGCGAGCGCAGGCGGAAGAAUAAGUCUGAUGUGAAAGCCCUCGGCUUAACCGAGGAACUGCAUCGGAAACUGUUUUUCUUGAGUGCAGAAGAGGAGAGUGGAACUCCAUGUGUAGCGGUGGAAUGCGUAGAUAUAUGGAAG